GAUGAACGCUGGCGGCGUGCCUAACACAUGCAAGUCGAACGGAGUCAUUUUGGAAAGUUCUUCGGAACUGGAAUCUAUGACUUAGUGGCGGACGGGUGAGUAACACGUGGGUAACCUGCCCAAGAGACUGGGAUAACACCUGGAAACAGAUGCUAAUACCGGAUAACAACACUAGACGCAUGUCUAGAGUUUGAAAGAUGGUUCUGCUAUCACUCUUGGAUGGACCUGCGGUGCAUUAGCUAGUUGGUAAGGUAACGGCUUACCAAGGCAAUGAUGCAUAGCCGAGUUGAGAGACUGAUCGGCCACAUUGGGACUGAGACACGGCCCAA
RNAcentral lists this ribosomal RNA (329 nucleotides) under uncultured bacterium. RNAcentral's name for it is "bacterial SSU rRNA". It matches the Rfam family "Bacterial small subunit ribosomal RNA", at positions 28 to 334 of the family's 1533-position model. The record is from RNAcentral.